Molecule: ribosomal RNA, 253 nt
Filed under: uncultured bacterium
Lineage: Bacteria
Description: partial 16S ribosomal RNA
Rfam family: Bacterial small subunit ribosomal RNA
Source: RNAcentral
UACGGAGGGUGCAAGCGUUAUCCGGAUUCACUGGGUUUAAAGGGUGUGUAGGCGGAUUUUUAAGUCAGUGGUGAAAUCUCCGGGCUCAACCCGGAAACUGCCAUUGAUACUAUUAGUCUUGAAUUCUGUUGAGGUAGGCGGAAUAUAUCAUGUAGCGGUGAAAUGCUUAGAUAUGAUAUAGAACACCGAUUGCGAAGGCAGCUUACUAAACAGAUAUUGACGCUGAGGCACGAAAGCGUGGGGAUCAAACAGG